Molecule: ribosomal RNA, 359 nt
Filed under: Eukaryota sp.
Lineage: Eukaryota
Description: SSU rRNA
Rfam family: Eukaryotic small subunit ribosomal RNA
Source: RNAcentral
UCCGUUAACGAACGAGACCUUGACCUGCUAAAUAGACGGGUUGACAUUUUGUUGGCCCCUUAUGUCUUCUUAGAGGGACAAUCGACCGUCUAGGUGAUGGAGGCAAAAGGCAAUAACAGGUCUGUGAUGCCCUUAGAUGUUCCGGGCUGCACGCGCGCUACACUGACAGAGACAACGAGUGGGGCCCCUUGUCCGAAAUGACUGGGUAAACUUGUGAAACUUUGUCGUGCUGGGGAUGGAGCUUUGUAAUUUUUGCUCUUCAACGAGGAAUUCCUAGUAAGCGCAAGUCAUCAGCUUGCGUUGACUACGUCCCUGCCCUUUGUACACACCGCCCGUCGCUAAUACCGAUUGAAUGGAUA